GCGGAGUAACGGCCCACCAAGGCGACGACGGGUAGCAGGCCUGAGAGGGUGGUCUGCCACACUGGGACUGAGACACUGCCCAGACUCCUACGGGAGGCUGCAGUCGAGAAUCUUCCGCAAUGGGCGCAAGCCUGACGGAGCGACGCCGCGUGGAGGACGAAGGCCCUAGGGUUGUAAACUCCUGUCACGGGUUAUGAAAGCGCACGUGUGAACAGCGCGCGCGUUGACGUAUGCCCGAGAGGAAGCACCGGCUAACUCUGUGCCAGCAGCCGCGGUAAUACAGAGGGUGCAAACGUUGUUCGGAAUCACUGGGCAUAAAGCGCACGUAGGCGGCUUCGUAAGUGUGGAGUGAAAGCCCACGGCUCAACCGUGGAAUUGCUCUGCAUACUGCGAGGCUCGAGGACGGUAGGGGAGAGCGGAACUCCUGGUGGAGCGGUGAAAUGCGUAGAUAUCAGGAGGAACACCGGUGGCGAAGGCGGCUCUCUGGUCCGUUUCUGACGCUGAGGUGCGAAAGCCAGGGUAGCGAACGGGAUUAGAUACCCCGGUAGUCCUGGCCGUAAACGAUGGGCACUAACUAGAGGCCUCUCCUGUGGGGUCUCUGGUGAAGCAAAUGUGAUAAGUG
This 622-nucleotide ribosomal RNA is filed under the name uncultured bacterium. RNAcentral describes it as "bacterial SSU rRNA". It matches the Rfam family "Bacterial small subunit ribosomal RNA", at positions 252 to 866 of the family's 1533-position model. The record is from RNAcentral.